RNAcentral lists this ribosomal RNA (245 nucleotides) under Salmonella enterica subsp. enterica serovar Kentucky. RNAcentral's name for it is "partial 16S ribosomal RNA". It matches the Rfam family "Bacterial small subunit ribosomal RNA", at positions 1 to 240 of the family's 1533-position model. Lineage: Bacteria; Pseudomonadati; Pseudomonadota; Gammaproteobacteria; Enterobacterales; Enterobacteriaceae. The record is from RNAcentral.
UUAAAUUGAAGAGUUUGAUCAUGGCUCAGAUUGAACGCUGGCGGCAGGCCUAACACAUGCAAGUCGAACGGUAACAGGAAGCAGCUUGCUGCUUCGCUGACGAGUGGCGGACGGGUGAGUAAUGUCUGGGAAACUGCCUGAUGGAGGGGGAUAACUACUGGAAACGGUGGCUAAUACCGCAUAACGUCGCAAGACCAAAGAGGGGGACCUUCGGGCCUCUUGCCAUCAGAUGUGCCCAGAUGGGA